RNAcentral lists this ribosomal RNA (513 nucleotides) under uncultured bacterium. RNAcentral describes it as "partial 16S ribosomal RNA". It matches the Rfam family "Bacterial small subunit ribosomal RNA", at positions 28 to 523 of the family's 1533-position model. The record is from RNAcentral.
GAUGAACGCUGGCGGCGUGCCUAAUACAUGCAAGUCGAACGCGCAGCGAAAGGUGCUUGCACCUUUCAAGCGAGUGGCGAACGGGUGAGUAACACGUGGAUAACCUGCCUCAAGGCUGGGGAUAACAUUUGGAAACAGAUGCUAAUACCGAAUAAAACUUAGUAUCGCAUGAUACAAAGUUAAAAGGCGCUACGGCGUCACCUAGAGAUGGAUCCGCGGUGCAUUAGUGAGUUGGUGGGGUAAAGGCUUACCAAGACGAUGAUGCAUAGCCGAGUUGGAAGACUGAUCGGCCACAUUGGGACUGAGACACGGCCCAAACUCCUACGGGAGGCUGCAGUAGGGAAUCUUCCACAAUGGGCGCAAGCCUGAUGGAGCAACGCCGCGUGUGUGAUGAAGGCUUUCGGGUCGUAAAGCACUGUCGUAUGGGAAGAAAUGCUAAAAUAGGGAAUGAUUUUAGUUUGACGGUACCAUACCAGAAAGGGACGGCUAAAUACGUGCCAGCAGCCGCAGUAA